RNAcentral lists this ribosomal RNA (301 nucleotides) under uncultured bacterium. RNAcentral's name for it is "partial 16S ribosomal RNA". It matches the Rfam family "Bacterial small subunit ribosomal RNA", at positions 509 to 807 of the family's 1533-position model. The record is from RNAcentral.
CAGUCGCCGCGGGAAUACGUAGGUGGCAAGCGUUGUCCGGAAUUAUUGGGCGUAAAGGGCUCGCAGGCGGUUUCUUAAGUCUGAUGUGAAAGCCCCCGGCUCAACCGGGGAGGGUCAUUGGAAACUGGGAAACUUGAGUGCAGAAGAGGAGAGUGGAAUUCCACGUGUAGCGGUGAAAUGCGUAGAGAUGUGGAGGAACACCAGUGGCGAAGGCGACUCUCUGGUCUGUAACCGACGCUGAGGAGCGAAAGCGUGGGGAGCAAACAGGAUUAGAUACCCCAGUAGUUCCUGUCUCUUAUAC